CCGACCUUAGCUCAGUUAGUAGAGCGGAGGACUGUAGUUGACGCAGAUUACCUUAGGUCACUAGUUCGAAUCCAGUAGGUCGGA
This 84-nucleotide transfer RNA is filed under the name Arabidopsis lyrata subsp. lyrata. It matches the Rfam family "tRNA". From Rfam's summary of the family: Transfer RNA (tRNA) molecules are approximately 80 nucleotides in length. Their secondary structure includes four short double-helical elements and three loops (D, anti-codon, and T loops). Further hydrogen bonds mediate the characteristic L-shaped molecular structure. tRNAs have two regions of fundamental functional importance: the anti-codon, which is responsible for specific mRNA codon recognition, and the 3' end, to which the tRNAs corresponding amino acid is attached (by aminoacyl-tRNA synthetases). tRNAs cope with the degeneracy of the genetic code in two manners: having more than one tRNA (with a specific anti-codon) for a particular amino acid; and 'wobble' base-pairing, i.e. permitting non-standard base-pairing at the 3rd anti-codon position. The record is from Rfam by way of RNAcentral. Lineage: Eukaryota; Viridiplantae; Streptophyta; Magnoliopsida; Brassicales; Brassicaceae.